GGAUGUGAGGGUGAUCUGACUGUGACAUCUGUCACCCUAUUGAUCGACAGGGUUGAUUUGGCUGAUCCGGCUGGCUAGGUGGGUGUCCUCUUCCUCUCUCACUGCUCCACAUGCAUCCCUCCCGAAGCUGAGUGCUUGGUCGAAGAGGACGACCAUCCCUGAUAGACGAGGACCGGUCUUAGGUCAAAGGUAUAUGAGUAGCUGCACUCCCCUGCUAGAAACUCCAAACAAGCUCUCAAAUAACAAUAAUGAUAUUAAUGAUAAUAAAGUUCCAUCUUUAAAAAUAAAGGCAAAAAUUAUCAGUCUCUAAAUAUUACUCU
This 320-nucleotide small nuclear RNA is filed under the name Saimiri boliviensis boliviensis (Bolivian squirrel monkey). RNAcentral describes it as "7SK RNA (ENSSBOG00000000861.1)". It matches the Rfam family "7SK RNA". From Rfam's summary of the family: 7SK was discovered as an abundant small nuclear RNA in the mid-70s but a possible function has only recently been suggested. Two independent studies have found that 7SK RNA binds the CDK9/cyclin T complex (known as elongation factor P-TEFb). The record is from Rfam by way of RNAcentral. Lineage: Eukaryota; Metazoa; Chordata; Mammalia; Primates; Cebidae.